GAGUUUGAUUAUGGCUCAGAACGAACGUUAGCGGUGUGGAUUAGGCAUGCAAGUCGAGCGUGAAAGGCGCAAGCCGAGUAAAGCGGCGAAAGGGUGAGUAACACGUAACCAACCUGUCCCCGAGACCGGGAUAACUGCGGAAACGCGGGCUAAUACCGGAUGGCCCUGAUGAAAGGCAUCUUUUGUCGGGUAAAUGGCGUAAGCCGCUGGGGGAGGGGGUUGCGGCCUAUCAGCUAGUUGGCGGGGUAAUGGCCCACCAAGGCUAUGACGGGUACCCGGUCUGAGAGGAUGGUCGGGCACACUGGGACUGAGACACUGCCCAGACUCCUACGGGAGGCUGCAGUCGAGGAUCUUCCGCAAUGGGCGAAAGCCUGACGGAGCGACACCGCGUGCAGGAUGAAGGCCUUCGGGUUGUAAACUGCUUUAGCGCCAUAGGAACUCCGCAAGGAUUGACUAAAGCGUAAAUAAGCAACGGCUAACUCUGUGCCAGCAGCCGCGGUAAGACAGAGGUUGCAAACGUUGUUCGGAAUCACUGGGCAUAAAGCGCACGUAGGCGGCUAGCUAAGUCAGGUGUGAAAUCCCCCGGCUCAACCGGGGAACUGCGCCUGAUACUGGCCGGCUCGAGGACGGUAGGGGUGAGUGGAACUCCAGGUGGAGCGGUGAAAUGCGUAGAUAUCUGGAGGAACACCGGUGGCGAAAGCGGCUCACUGGACCGUCUCUGACGCUGAGGUGCGAAAGCUAGGGUAGCAAACGGGAUUAGAUACCCCGGUAGUCCUAGCCGUAAACGAUGGGCACUUGGUAAGGGGGAUUCCUAUGGUCCUCCUUGCCGUAGCUAAUGUGUUAAGUGCCCCGCCUGGGGAGUACGCUCGCAAGGGUAAAACUCAAAUGAAUUGACGGGG
This 899-nucleotide ribosomal RNA is filed under the name uncultured Planctomycetota bacterium. Its description in RNAcentral is "bacterial SSU rRNA". It matches the Rfam family "Bacterial small subunit ribosomal RNA", at positions 9 to 918 of the family's 1533-position model. Lineage: Bacteria; Pseudomonadati; Planctomycetota. The record is from RNAcentral.